CGGAGUGGCGGACGGGUGAGGAAUACAUCGGAAUCUACUCUGUCGUGGGGGAUAACGUAGGGAAACUUACGCUAAUACCGCAUACGACCUACGGGUGAAAGCAGGGGAUCUUCGGACCUUGCGCGAUUGAAUGAGCCGAUGUCGGAUUAGCUAGUUGGCGGGGUAAAGCCCACCAAGGCGACGAUCCGUAGCUGGUCUGAGAGGAUGACCAGUCACACUGGAACUGAGACACGGUCCAGACUCCUACGGGAGGCAGCAGCG
Molecule: ribosomal RNA, 261 nt
Filed under: uncultured Stenotrophomonas sp.
Lineage: Bacteria; Pseudomonadati; Pseudomonadota; Gammaproteobacteria; Lysobacterales; Lysobacteraceae
Description: partial 16S ribosomal RNA
Rfam family: Bacterial small subunit ribosomal RNA
Source: RNAcentral